AGCCAACAACUGUGUAACUACUGCUACUUCGACAACUUUUCCACUGGACUAGAAAAGUUUUUCUCUCUGGAAGUGACAUUAGGUCUUAGUUUCAGGCACAAUUUUACCGGCAGGAACUCCGGUAAGGAGCAAGGCCUCCUUGCCCCCUCCCCAGACGCGGUCAGAGCCCGGUCUCCGGUGGCUGCGGAGAGCCAGCAGGGCUCGGCAGCGCAGCCGGCCCGGGCGCUCGGGCAUUCACCGCGUUCAGCUCCGCGGCACAGCCACCGGCCUGGCCUGAAACCUGCCCGGCGCCGUCCCGGGCCGCAGGCAGGGACCCAGCACCCGCACUGGGGAACGGCCGCUCCGACCACGCCGCGACCAGCGGAAUAUGGAAGUGCGGGGAGGUCCCUCCCUCCCUCUCCUCACGCUGCCGUCCUACGAUUUCUUCCUUCCCCCACCAGAACCAUAGCGGAUGGACAGCCACCGAGGCGGCAGCUCCCGCGAACAGACCCGCACCACAGACUACAGCGUGCAUUAGCAGAAAAAAAAGCACAGAUAUUUUUCGUGGCACCCGCAGGGCGGGACCGGCGGGGCCCGGUCGGCUGCAGCCCCCGCUGUUCCCCAGCAGCUGGGCCAGGCGGACGCGGCGGUGCCUCCCCCCCUUUCCCAGAGCCUCUCGGCUGGUGGGGAGGCGGCCCUGGGCUGAGGAAACCGGCCGGGGGACUCGCGGGAGCCCGCAGGCGCCGCCAGCUCAGCCCACACUGCCCCUUCCCCCCCGGGCUGAGUCACCCGCUCCGCGUGUCGCGUCCUGCCCGCGUCCCCCCGCCGGUACCUUCCCGGUCAGUGCUCCAUCGCCGCCGGCUCCUGCCCACCCCCACAGCUCCGCAGCCGCCACGAGCACAGGGAGCGGAGCGGGCCGGGCCGGGCCGCGCCGCCUCGGCUGGCGGCAGGAGGAGGAGGAGGAGGAGACCAAGCAGGACCACCCCUCUCCGCCAAGCCGGCCGGCCGCGAGGCACGCCGGGAUGUACACCGGCCGCGAAACAGCCUGGGAGUCGUAGUCCUAUCCCCGGCUCAGUACCGCCAGCACCGCUGUAA
Molecule: long non-coding RNA, 1074 nt
Filed under: Junco hyemalis (dark-eyed junco)
Lineage: Eukaryota; Metazoa; Chordata; Aves; Passeriformes; Passerellidae
Description: lncRNA (ENSJHYG00000005254.1)
Source: RNAcentral